UCCUACGGGAGGCAGCAGUGAGGAAUAUUGCUCAAUGGCCGCAAGGCUGAAGCAGCAACGCCGCGUGAGGGAUGAAGGAUCUAUGGUCUGUAAACCUCUGUAGAGAAGGAAAAAUAACCCAUUAUAUGGGCUUGAUAGUACUUCUAGAGUAAGCCCCGGCUAACUACGUGCCAGCAGCCGCGGUAAUACGUAGGGGGCGAGCGUUGUCCGGAAUCACUGGGUGUAAAGGGUGCUCAGGCGGGUCGAUAAGUCAGAGGUGAAAUUUCACAGCUUAACUGUGAAUGUGCUUUUGAUACUGUCGGUCUAGAGUUCAGAAGAGGGCAAUGGAAUUCUUGGUGUAGCGGUGAAAUGCGUAGAUAUCAAGAAGAACACCAGUUGCGAAGGCGGUUGCCUGGUCUGUAACUGACGCUCAAGCACGAAAGCGUGGGGAUCAAACAGGAUUAGAUACCCUUGUAGUCU
RNAcentral lists this ribosomal RNA (459 nucleotides) under uncultured bacterium. RNAcentral describes it as "bacterial SSU rRNA". It matches the Rfam family "Bacterial small subunit ribosomal RNA", at positions 337 to 796 of the family's 1533-position model. The record is from RNAcentral.